UGGGGAAUAUUGCACAAUGGGCGAAAGCCUGAUGCAGCAACGCCGCGUGAGCGAUGAAGGCCUUUGGGUCGUAAAGCUCUGUCCUGGGGGAAGAAACAAAUGACGGUACCCCGGGAGGAAGCCCCGGCUAACUACGUGCCAGCAGCCGCGGUAAUACGUAGGGGGCGAGCGUUAUCCGGAAUUAUUGGGCGUAAAGAGUGCGUAGGUGGUUUUAUAAGCGCGAGGUGAAAGGCAGUGGCUCAACCAUUGUAAGCCUUGCGAACUGUGAGACUUGAGUGCAGGAGAGGAAAGUGGAAUUCCUAGUGUAGCGGUGAAAUGCGUAGAUAUUAGGAGGAACACCAGUGGCGAAGGCGACUUUCUGGACUGUAACUGACACUGAGGCACGAAAGCGUGGGGAGCA
Molecule: ribosomal RNA, 400 nt
Filed under: uncultured bacterium
Lineage: Bacteria
Description: bacterial SSU rRNA
Rfam family: Bacterial small subunit ribosomal RNA
Source: RNAcentral